RNAcentral lists this ribosomal RNA (437 nucleotides) under uncultured bacterium. RNAcentral describes it as "bacterial SSU rRNA". It matches the Rfam family "Bacterial small subunit ribosomal RNA", at positions 42 to 468 of the family's 1533-position model. The record is from RNAcentral.
UCAGGCCUAACACAUGCAAGUCGAACGAGAUUAUAGGGUAAGCUUGCUUACCUUAUAUGACAGUGGCGCACGGGUGCGUAACGCGUAUGCAAUCUACCUUAAUCAGGGGGAUAGCCUCUCGAAAGAGAGAUUAAUACCGCAUAACAUUAUGAUAUGGCAUCAUAUUAUAAUCAAACAUUUAUGGGAUUAAGAUGAGCAUGCGUGACAUUAGCUAGUUGGUGAGGUAACGGCUCACCAAGGCAACGAUGUCUAGGGGAUCUGAGAGGAUGACCCCCCACACUGGUACUGAGACACGGACCAGACUCCUACGGGAGGCAGCAGUAAGGAAUAUUGGUCAAUGGACGCAAGUCUGAACCAGCCAUGCCGCGUGCAGGAAGACGGCCCUAUGGGUUGUAAAGUGCUUUUAUACGGGAAUAAACCUUCUUUCGUGAAAGAAG